GGUAUCAUGAUUGAAUAAGCAAGCUCCAGCUACAGACACCUGUGUUCAAACUUCACCUCUGCAACCUACACGCUGUGUGAGCUUGGACAAGCUGGUUCAACCUGCACUUCAGAUGACUCAUCUCUACAACGUGAACCACUAUAGCAUCACCUUAUAGGGCCAUUCAGAAGAUCUGAACAAACACAGGUGGAGGGCUUGGAGCAUGCCUGCUGUCCACGGUACCCAGUGCACCAGCUAGAUUAAGAACUUUCCAAAGCUUUCUGUGGAACACCUACCUGCCCUGCCCCAGACACUGUGGGCACCAUGAAUGUGAACCAGGCCUCGUCCUGGCCUUGGGUGUGCAUCAAAUAACUAACCCCGUCCAGAAGGAGACAAGGGCUGUUUCUGAGGUGCAAGUAAAUGCCUAGAGGAAGAUCGGUCCUAGCUGGAAGGGGUCCAUGAUAGAGGAGGGACCCGAGGUGGUGCUGGAGGAAUGGGCAGGAUUCUAACAGAAGGUCACAGCAGGUCGGGGCAGCGUUCUCACUACACCAGUUGGGCAUUAGCCCAUCAGGUGUCCAGUUCACCCCAGGUGACACCUGCUAAGAAGAAAAUGAAGUCAAACUAUCACUGGCAUUUUAGCAUAGUAUUAACUGCCCAUUCUAUUCCUGGUGAAGAUCCUUCCAGGAGCUGAGGAUGUAGAUCCGGGGUAGAGUGCUUGCCCAGGAUGCGCUGGGCCUUGGGUUUGAUUCCUAGCAUGGAAAAGAGUUGAAU
Molecule: long non-coding RNA, 750 nt
Filed under: Marmota monax (woodchuck)
Lineage: Eukaryota; Metazoa; Chordata; Mammalia; Rodentia; Sciuridae
Source: RNAcentral